Molecule: ribosomal RNA, 406 nt
Filed under: uncultured bacterium
Lineage: Bacteria
Description: partial 16S ribosomal RNA
Rfam family: Bacterial small subunit ribosomal RNA
Source: RNAcentral
AUUGAACGCUGGCGGCAGGCCUAACACAUGCAAGUCGAACGAGUGGCGCACGUGUGAGUAAUGUCUGGGACACUGCCUGAUGGAGGGGGAUAACUACUGGAAACGGUAGCUAAUACCGCAUACCAUCGGAUGUGCCCAGAUGGGAUUAGCUUGUUGGGGGGGUAACGGCUCACCAGGGCGACGAUCCCUAGCUGGUCUGAGAGGAUGACCAGCCAAACGGGAACUGAGACACGGUCCAGAGUCCUACGGGAGGAAGCAGUGGGGAAUAUGGGACAAUGGGCGCAAGCCUGAUGCAGCCAUGCCGCGUGUAUGAAGAAGGCCUUCGGGUUGUAAAGUACUUUCAGCGGGGAGGCGUUACCCGCAGAAGAAGCACCGGCUAACUCCGUGCCAGCAGCCGCGGUAAUAC